UACGAUGGGGGCUAGCGUUGCUCGGAAUCACUGGGCGUAAAGGGUGCGUAGGCGGGUUCUUUAGUCCGAGGUGAAAUCCUGGAGCUCAACUCCAGAACUGCCUUUGAUACUGAGAGUCUUGAGUUCGGGAGAGGUGAGUGGAACUGCGAGUGUAGAGGUGAAAUUCGUAGAUAUUCGCAAGAACACCAGUGGCGAAGGCGGCUCACUGGCCCGAUACUGACGCUGAUGCACGAAAGCGUGGGGAGCAAACAGG
This 253-nucleotide ribosomal RNA is filed under the name uncultured bacterium. RNAcentral describes it as "partial 16S ribosomal RNA". It matches the Rfam family "Bacterial small subunit ribosomal RNA", at positions 524 to 776 of the family's 1533-position model. The record is from RNAcentral.